GUCGAUCGGGUAGUUCCGGAUCUCGGGUAAUUCCGAAUCAACUCUAUGAUUUAAUUAAAAUAUUAGUCUAAAAGAUAUUGCCAUAUCAAUAUAACUGUGAUUUUUGGAAAAUGUGAUCAAUUUCAAGCAAUAACACAGUUUUGCUUCUUAUUUCAACGGUGUUUUCAUUGAAAAUCACACUUUGGUAACUAUCACAGUCGUGUCAUUUUACCGUCGCACUGUCUUUCAAUAACACGCGUCAACAAUUAAAAGACGAUUUAGAAGCACAUUUCCUUGGUAAAUGCUUGUACAUUUGAUAAUUGUCAAGUUGGACGGAUGGGUCCUAAAAAGCACGGGUGCUCUGCACAGUCAUUGGCAAAGAGGCUGAAGCGGAUACUUUUAUAUAUUUUUACAUUAUUGUGAUCCUAUUAUUGUUAAAUGUUGCCAUAAUAUGUUAUUUACCAAACAUUUAACUUGAUAUCUAGUAUUGUCUUCCAUUUCUUUACCAUUAUUAUCCCAGAGGUACUGGUUUAUGUUGUUGUUGCUUUUUAUACUUUUAUUACAUUAUUUUACAUUAUUGUGAUCAUAUUAUUGUUACAUGUUAUCAUACUAUGUUAUUUACCAAAAAAGUAACUUGAUAUCUAGUAUUGUUUUCCAUUUCUUUAGCAAAUUUAUUCUAGAGGCACUGGUUUAUGUUAUACUUUUUAUGGAUGCUUUUAUAUAUUUUUACAUUAUUAUGAUCCUAUUAUUAGCAAAUGCAUUCCAGAGGUACUUGUUUAUGUUCAGUUGUCAUUUUUAUGCCCCCGGAUCGAAUGAUCGGGGCAUAUUGUGUUUGGCCAGUCUGUCAUUCUGUCCCAAAACUUUAACCUUAGUUAAAGUUUUUUGAUAACUUUUGCAAUAUUUAAGACAGAAAC
Molecule: long non-coding RNA, 893 nt
Organism: Dreissena polymorpha
Lineage: Eukaryota; Metazoa; Mollusca; Bivalvia; Myida; Dreissenidae
Exons: 2
Source: RefSeq, a predicted model, not a curated record